AACUUUUGGCAAUGGAUCUCUAGGCUCUCACAACGAUGAAGAACGCAGCGAAAUGCGAUAAGUAAUGUGAAUUGCAGAAUUCCGUGAAUCAUUAAAUCUUUGAACGCACAUUGCACUCGUUGGUAUUCCGACGAGUAUGUCUGUUUGAGAAUCAGUUUAAUUUAUCAAAAAUUAGUUUUUUCUUUUCACGAAGGAAAGAUGAAUUUUUUGGAUUUGGAACUCAUUGACUUUUUUAAAGUUGAUAGAUCUUUAAAAUUAUUUGUUUGCUGCAGCUAAUAUAAAGGGAGUUUGACCAUUUUGGCUGACUGAUGCAGGAUUUUCACAAGAGUCUUAAAAAACCCUUGUUAAACUCGAUCUCAAAUCAAGUAAGACUACCCGCUGAACUUAAGCAUAUCAAUAAGCGGAGGCU
RNAcentral lists this unclassified non-coding RNA (409 nucleotides) under uncultured Mortierella. RNAcentral describes it as "sequence contains ITS2". The stretch from base 1 to 154 matches the Rfam family "5.8S ribosomal RNA". Lineage: Eukaryota; Fungi; Mortierellomycota; Mortierellomycetes; Mortierellales; Mortierellaceae. The record is from RNAcentral.